AGCUGGUCAAGAGGGGCCUGCCUACUUCCUGAUCGGCUGGGGUCAAAAGUUCAAAAUGCAAAGGUCAAGAGCAGGUGGCCCAGAGAUAAACAAUGCACAAUGAGACUGAAGAUCUGCAACUGGAUAAAGGCACAAUAGUCAGAACACCAGAGGGCGCCCUCACAAGCAGAAGGACCACUCAUCAUACAGUAUGUGUACAUUACCGGAGCUGUGUCACUCUCAAAUGGACUGGAGAAGUUUGUCAGUGUGUUCUGGCUUCCUGGGGGGCACCUCAUGUGAUACAUGUGGAACACCCCCAGCCCGAUGUCACUGCAAAGUAUGAAUAGAGACUGUGUUUUGGUCGUGUCAUCUGCUCUGGAGGGGUUGAAAAUGGCUCAGCAGGAAACCAAAGGACUGUCCCACACCUGGAUCUGACACCUGGACUGUAC
Boleophthalmus pectinirostris (great blue-spotted mudskipper) is the source of this 428-nucleotide long non-coding RNA. RefSeq lists it as uncharacterized. Lineage: Eukaryota; Metazoa; Chordata; Actinopteri; Gobiiformes; Gobiidae. The transcript has 3 exons. The record is from RefSeq and is a predicted model, not a curated record.